RNAcentral lists this ribosomal RNA (515 nucleotides) under uncultured bacterium. RNAcentral describes it as "partial 16S ribosomal RNA". The record is from RNAcentral.
GGAGUUAGCCGGUGCUUCUUCUGCGAGUAACGUCACAGAUGUAAGGUAUUAACUUACACCCUUUCCUCCUCGCUGAAAGUGCUUUACAACCCGAAGGCCUUCUUCACACACGCGGCAUGGCUGCAUCAGGGUUUCCCCCAUUGUGCAAUAUUCCCCACUGCUGCCUCCCGUAGGAGUCUGGGCCGUGUCUCAGUCCCAGUGUGGCUGAUCAUCCUCUCAGACCAGCUAGGGAUCGUCGCCUAGGUGAGCCUUUACCUCACCUACUAGCUAAUCCCACCUGGGCUUAUCCAUCAGCGCAAGGCCCGAAGGUCCCCUGCUUUCCCCCGUAGGGCGUAUGCCGGUAUUAGCAGUCGUUUCCAACUGUUAUCCCCCACAACUGGGCAAAUUCCCAGGCCAUUACUCACCCGUCCGCCGCUCGUCAUCUUCAAAAGCAAGCUUUUGAAAUGUUACCGCUCGACUUGCAUGUGUUAGGCCUGCCGCCAGCGUUCAAUCUGAGCCAUAGNACCAAGCUGACG